Small nucleolar RNA from Pipistrellus kuhlii (Kuhl's pipistrelle), 115 nucleotides. NCBI's taxonomy places the organism in Eukaryota, Metazoa, Chordata, Mammalia, Chiroptera, Vespertilionidae. The record is from RefSeq and is a predicted model, not a curated record.
GUCUGUAUCCAGAGCCACCUUUAAAACUGUGGAUGUACAGUGCCAGAGCAGUUGCUUGCACAUAACUGGGGCCUACAGCUCUCUGCCGGCGACCCUUUUAACUCGAGCGACACGG